AAGGUUUUUGGAUCGUAAACCCCUUUUGUCAAGGAAGAAGCUCUGACGGUACUUGACGAAUAAGCCUCGGCUAACUCCGUGCCAGCAGCCGCCGGUAAUACGGAGGAGGCAAGCGUUAUCCGGAAUGAUUGGGCGUAAAGCGUCUGUAGGUGGCCAGCUAAGUCUGCUGUUAAAGAUCACAGCUCAACUGUGGGAAGGCAGUGGAAACUGGCAAGCUAGAGGUUGGUAGGGGUAAAGGGAAUUCCCGGUGUAGCGGUGAAAUGCGUAGAUAUCGGGAAGAACACCGGUGGCGAAAGCGCUUUACUGGGCCAGACCUGACACUGAAGGACGAAAGCUAGGGGAGCGAAAGGGAUUAGAUACCCCUGUAGUC
Molecule: ribosomal RNA, 370 nt
Filed under: uncultured cyanobacterium
Lineage: Bacteria; Bacillati; Cyanobacteriota
Description: bacterial SSU rRNA
Rfam family: Bacterial small subunit ribosomal RNA
Source: RNAcentral